CGAACGGAAGUUAGAGCUUCGGUUUUAACUUUAGUGGCGAACGGGUGAGUAACGCGUGAGGAACCUGCCUUUCAGUGGGGGACAACAGUUGGAAACAACUGCUAAUACCGCAUGACACUUUUGGGAGACAUCUCCUGGAAGUCAAAGCUUUAUGUGCUGAAAGAUGGCCUCGCGUCUGAUUAGCUGGUUGGUGAGGUAACGGCUCACCAAGGCGACGAUCAGUAGCCGGUCUGAGAGGAUGAACGGCCACAUUGGGACUGAGAUACGGCCCAGACUCCUACGGGAGGCAGCAGUGGGGAAUAUUGGGCAAUGGGGGAAACC
RNAcentral lists this ribosomal RNA (321 nucleotides) under uncultured Bacillota bacterium. Its description in RNAcentral is "bacterial SSU rRNA". It matches the Rfam family "Bacterial small subunit ribosomal RNA", at positions 63 to 382 of the family's 1533-position model. The record is from RNAcentral. Lineage: Bacteria; Bacillati; Bacillota.